AGGCUCUCUCCCUGCCAGAUUGUGGAUGGAAUGUUCGGGGAAUGGUUACUGAAGUGUUCCAGGCACCAGAGCUCAGGCAAGAAGUGGAAAACUGAGCAAGAUCCUGCACCAUUCAACGGCUAAAAUGACUUUUAAAACUAUCUGGUGAAUGGAAAUACCAUAUCAAGCCACUAGGUGGCAAAGCAGACUCGGAGAACGACCUCUGCCAGCAGGCGCUGAAGCAGCUGCCCGUUCCCCAUGCUGGCGACCAGGAACUUCAGCUUAGCUCAGUCAUGCAGUUCGCGGAGAAUAUCAAACAGAGUCAACAAAGCUUUGCAAUCAAACGUGUCUUUAAAGGGAAUCCAACUUGUGAACCUGGCUCUUGAUAUUCAUUUGAAGCUGCAAGGGGGAAAGAUGUUACCUAAUAUGGAGCAAUGGCUCUUAUUGUGAACAAAACAUCUCUGAAAGCCAAAACCGGAAUAAAAUUCUAUUUAAAAAGGAGAA
This 483-nucleotide non-coding RNA is filed under the name Pongo abelii (Sumatran orangutan). The record is from RNAcentral. Lineage: Eukaryota; Metazoa; Chordata; Mammalia; Primates; Hominidae.